CAAUAGCGUAUAUUAAAGUUGUUGCAGUUAAAAAGCUCGUAGUUGGAUUUCGGGGCAGCCUGGCUGGUCCGCCGCAAGGCGAGUACUGGUCAGCCGCCCUUCCUCUCGAAAGCCCCGACUGCUCUUCGUUGCAGUGGUCGGGUAGUUCGGGACGUUUACUUUGAAAAAAUUAGAGUGUUCAAGGCAGGCCUACGCCUGAAUACAUUAGCAUGGAAUAAUGGAAGAGGACCUCGGUCCUAUUUUGUUGGUUUCCAGGGCCGAGGUAAUGAUUAAGAGGGACAGUUGGGGGCAUUCGUAUUUAAUUGUCAGAGGUGAAAUUCUCGGAUUUAUGAAAGACGAACAACUGCGAAAGCAUUUGCCAAGGAUGUUUUCAUUAA
Molecule: ribosomal RNA, 377 nt
Filed under: uncultured eukaryote
Lineage: Eukaryota
Description: partial 18S ribosomal RNA
Rfam family: Eukaryotic small subunit ribosomal RNA
Source: RNAcentral